RNAcentral lists this ribosomal RNA (253 nucleotides) under uncultured bacterium. Its description in RNAcentral is "partial 16S ribosomal RNA". It matches the Rfam family "Bacterial small subunit ribosomal RNA", at positions 524 to 776 of the family's 1533-position model. The record is from RNAcentral.
UACAGAGGUCCCAAGCGUUGUUCGGAAUUACUGGGCGUAAAGGGCUCGUAGGUGGCCAACUAAGUCAGACGUGAAAUCCCUCGGCUUAACCGGGGAACUGCGUCUGAUACUGGUUGGCUUGAGUUUGGGAGAGGGACGCGGAAUUCCAGGUGUAGCGGUGAAAUGCGUAGAUAUCUGGAGGAACACCGGUGGCGAAGGCGGCAUCCUGGACCGACACUGACGCUGAGGCGCGAAAGCUAGGGUAGCAAACGGG